RNAcentral lists this ribosomal RNA (387 nucleotides) under uncultured bacterium. RNAcentral describes it as "bacterial SSU rRNA". It matches the Rfam family "Bacterial small subunit ribosomal RNA", at positions 30 to 416 of the family's 1533-position model. The record is from RNAcentral.
AUUGAACGCUGGCGGCAUGCCUUACACAUGCAAGUCGAACGGUAACGGGCCUUCGGGUGCCGACGAGUGGCGAACGGGUGAGUAAUGCAUCGGAACGUACCUUUCAGUGGGGGAUAACGUAGCGAAAGUUACGCUAAUACCGCAUAUUCUGUGAGCAGGAAAGCAGGGGAUCGCAAGACCUUGCGCUGAUUGAGCGGCCGAUGUCAGAUUAGCUAGUUGGUGAGGUAAAGGCUCACCAAGGCGACGAUCUGUAGCGGGUCUGAGAGGAUGAUCCGCCACACUGGAACUGAGACACGGUCCAGACUCCUACGGGAGGCAGCAGUGGGGGAAUUUUUGGACAAUGGGGGGCAACCCUGAUCCAGCCAUGCCGCGUGAGUGAAGAAGGCC